UACGUAGGGUGCAAGCGUUGUCCGGAAUUAUUGGGCGUAAAGAGCUCGUAGGCGGUCUGUCGCGUCGGCUGUGAAAACCCGGAGCUCAACUCCGGGCCUGCAGUCGAUACGGGCAAACUAGAGUACUGCAGGGGAGACUGGAAUUCCUGGUGUAGCGGUGAAAUGCGCAGAUAUCAGGAAGAACACCCGUGGCGAAAGCGGCUCUCUGGAACGGUACUGACGCUGAGACGCGAAAGCGUGGGGAGCGAACAGG
Molecule: ribosomal RNA, 253 nt
Filed under: uncultured bacterium
Lineage: Bacteria
Description: partial 16S ribosomal RNA
Rfam family: Bacterial small subunit ribosomal RNA
Source: RNAcentral